CACCUGGUGGUUCCUAGAGUCAGCUCCAUUAUGCUGAACUGUGGGUUUUUUAACAGGUGCACAUUGAUUUCUGCAGUUUUAUGCAUGGAAGCUGCCUCUACUGCAGCGCUCCAUAGCCCGGCUGCAGAUACACUC
Molecule: small nucleolar RNA, 135 nt
Organism: Nematolebias whitei (Rio pearlfish)
Lineage: Eukaryota; Metazoa; Chordata; Actinopteri; Cyprinodontiformes; Rivulidae
Product: small nucleolar RNA SNORA84
Exons: 1
Source: RefSeq, a predicted model, not a curated record